GCACUUCGAAGGUAACAACAACAGAGAUCGACCAAAUAGAAACAACACAAAAAGCAACCCAAUUCUCGGGAGAAUCAUCAAUUGUUGGAAACAAAACAUCAUUUCCAACUUGUGGACAAAAUCAGAAGAUAGUCUUACACAAUAGGCAGCCACAAAUGAACUGUACUUCUACGGAUAACAAAUUAGUAGCAUCUUUAAGUAGCAGAGUACAAACAACUACCUCUGACAAUGCUAAUAUCCCCAUACCAAAUCCAGAAUGAUAUGGAAGGAAAACACGUAUAUGAAGAAGGAGAGGAAGAGGAUAUCUUAACGCAAUGCUGGAAGAAUGGGGGAUUUGUCACCAACGCACAGUAAAACAAGUAAAAAAAGUCAUCAAAGGGAUAGAAGUUGGGACGGCAGGAUGGCUGAAGACGCAAACAAAAAGAAGCUCCCAAUGCGAAUUGCAAAACAAAAGCAGAUUACUCAAAAUACCUUUAAAAAGCCCAGUAAAACAAAGAACAAAGCAUGAAUUCUAAUUGCAAAACAAAAGCAGAUUACUCAAAAUACCUUUAAAAAGCCCAGUAAAACAAAGAACAAAGCAUGAAUUCUGAAGAUCUUUUCGAAUUCAUCGCAAAGUUGGAGAAAGGACAACACAUUACUCGCUUCCUCAUUUUUCACUUUAUCAUCUUAAUAUCCUCAUAUGUAAUAUCACAACACAGUUGUGUUAUGAACUCUGUGGUGAUCAUGCUAUACUUCGG
Molecule: long non-coding RNA, 737 nt
Filed under: Nicotiana benthamiana
Lineage: Eukaryota; Viridiplantae; Streptophyta; Magnoliopsida; Solanales; Solanaceae
Description: long non-coding RNA (NBEN_LNC005471)
Source: RNAcentral